RNAcentral lists this ribosomal RNA (483 nucleotides) under uncultured bacterium. Its description in RNAcentral is "partial 16S ribosomal RNA". It matches the Rfam family "Bacterial small subunit ribosomal RNA", at positions 30 to 506 of the family's 1533-position model. The record is from RNAcentral.
AUUGAACGCUGGCGGCAGGCCUAACACAUGCAAGUCGAGCGGAUGAAGGGAGCUUGCUCCUGGAUUCAGCGGCGGACGGGUGAGUAAUGCCUAGGAAUCUGCCUGGUAGUGGGGGAUAACGUCCGGAAACGGGCGCUAAUACCGCAUACGUCCUGAGGGAGAAAGUGGGGGAUCUUCGGACCUCACGCUAUCAGAUGAGCCUAGGUCGGAUUAGCUAGUUGGUGGGGUAAAGGCCUACCAAGGCGACGAUCCGUAACUGGUCUGAGAGGAUGAUCAGUCACACUGGAACUGAGACACGGUCCAGACUCCUACGGGAGGCAGCAGUGGGGAAUAUUGGACAAUGGGCGAAAGCCUGAUCCAGCCAUGCCGCGUGUGUGAAGAAGGUCUUCGGAUUGUAAAGCACUUUAAGUUGGGAGGAAGGGCAGUAAGUUAAGACCUGGCUGUUUUGACGUUACCAACAGAAUAAGCACCGGCUAACUUCGU